AUCCAUCCGAGAAAGGUCUUCCGGUCUUCAGACGUUUGUUUCCUUCUGAAGAGAAAGGACUAUGGAAGGUACAGAAAAAGUGUGCGCUGAAAAGUGUAGCAAAGAUUCAAAGAGCAGCUCGAAGUUAUGCGAGAAAAACAGACACUAUUUGGGGAGGAGAAAGCACCAUGUAUUGAUUUCUUACGCACGUCACUCGUGAGGGUGCGCGAUUUGCGACGGGGUAACGAGCCCGAGGGUGAGGGGGAAGGACAAUUUGGAGGAUUCACGCGCAAACGUGUCGCGUCGAAAGGACGAUAGUUGAAAGGAAGGGAUUGCUGUCUCACUCUUAUACACGCUUCUUAUGGACAUUGGGGCGCCAGCGGACCAAUGGAUGAUACAACAAGUGCUAUUGCCAAAAUGUAUCAUUUUGACGAUAGUCAAUUUGAAAGCCAGUGGCAAGUAAAUUGCCGAAACUUGACUCCGAAUGCUAUUCCAACAAUUUCUGCUGGCAGUAACGAUAGCUUAUCGUCAAAUAAACAGGAAGUAAAUAGUCCAGGAGAAACUGCAAUCGUUGAUAAGCUUGUUGAAAAUUUGAUUCCGGCAAAGUUAAAUGAUAUGAGAUAUGACAACGAUGAUGGUUAGCAAAUUUGCAAGAUGAAGGGAACAAGCAAAUGAAAACAAGCAUAACCGAUGGACCGAUGAAUAAUUCUGAUAUGCAAGAUACAACAUUCCAUACUUCUGAAAAUAGCACAAUUCGACAAACGAAUGAAAUGAAACAUUUGAAAUUACAACCGAAUGCUAUUACAACGAUGUGUGUCGACGUCAAAGGUAGCUCGACAGCGUUAAGAAAUCAGGAAGUAAACAGUCCAGAAGAAAAUGCGAUCGUUGAUAAGCCUGCUGAGAAUUUAGUUCCGGAAAAGUUAAAUGAUACGAGAUAUGACAAUGAUGAUGGAAUAGCAAGUUCCCAAGAUGAAGGGGACCAAUCAGUGCAAAUGGAAACAAGCAUAACCGAUGGACCGAUGAAUAAUUCUGACACACAAGCCACAAGAUUCCAUAGUUUUGAAAAUGGCACAAUUCGACAAGCGAAUGAAAUAAAACGUUUGAAACUACAAUUGAAGCAAGAGCGGCUGAAGAAUCAUACUUAUAAAUUAAAGUAUAAGAUAACAAAACAGUUGGCUCUAAAAUCAGUUCAGCGAUUUAAAUUUUACAAAAACAAUUAUUUUAUUUUGUUACGUGAAAAGGAGGUGCGUAACAACCGCAAUCGAGCACCGGUGUAUUUUAGAGCUUACUGUGACUGUGAUUGUGACUUAAAACUUCCGCGUAUGCCAUAUCCGAUACCCAGGUGUGUACAUACUGAAGAUCGCGAUGCAUACAUGAAAUUAUUGAAUGAGUGAAGGACGUACAAAUAGAUGUUAAUUUCCUCAAAAUUGAAAUGUCUCUUCUGAAAAAUGGCCAAACAGCAAAAAUGGCAAGACAGGAAAGUAAUGAGAAGAGGAUGGCGCAUAUGGAAGAGAAACUGAAUCACGUGGAUACGGUAGACCGAUCAAGUAAUGUGAUCUUAUACAACGUCACGGAGAGCGAUGAACUGAAUAAAAUUCUGCUAACAGAUUGUAAACCAAAGGAGUAUCUUGUGUAUCUAUUAUGCUUUAUUCAACAGCAUCGCCACUUGUGGGUUUAUUGGAUGGGUUCUUGUCUAUAAAAGUAAUAUAACAGAGUUGUGUAAUUUACAAAAGCGUCUACUUAAGAAUAUUGAAAAAUUCAAAAAUAAUGAACAUGCGAAUGAAAUACCAGUAGGAAUAAGGGAAACUUAUGUUUCGCAAUGUCUGGAAUAUAACUGGAAAAUGAAAGACUUGAAAGUAGCAGAUCAAUCACAAGGUAUAAAGGCUCGACGUUACAAGUGGAACUGAAAAUAGGAAAGAAAUUUCAUCGAUAUCAGGCAAUUUGGAAUUUCAAUCAUUUACCAAUAGAAAUUAAAAGUGAACAAACUUUUCUAAAAAAAAUUAUUUAUCAAUAUACCCGUAACAAUAUACACCAGUAAUCUUUCGAGAUGGAUCAAAAUUCUUAUUUUGUAAUUUUUUUUUGUUUUUUACAUAAUACUUUCCCUUACUGUCUUUCUUUAAAUCAGGCUUCCGCAGAGGUUAUCUUAUCCUACAGCGAAGUAUAUUGAAUGUACUUUGUACUUCCUGAGUACUUUACUUUGUUACGCCCACAGCACGUAACUACUAUACUGUAAAUGUAAUUGAUUGUGAAUAAAUAUGCCGAUGAAAAAAAAAAAAAAA
Neodiprion virginianus is the source of this 2258-nucleotide long non-coding RNA. RefSeq lists it as uncharacterized. NCBI's taxonomy places the organism in Eukaryota, Metazoa, Arthropoda, Insecta, Hymenoptera, Diprionidae. The transcript is spliced from 5 exons. The record is from RefSeq and is a predicted model, not a curated record.